Molecule: ribosomal RNA, 442 nt
Filed under: uncultured bacterium
Lineage: Bacteria
Description: partial 16S ribosomal RNA
Rfam family: Bacterial small subunit ribosomal RNA
Source: RNAcentral
ACUACGGGUGGCAGCAGUGGGGAAUAUUGGGCAAUGGGCGCAAGCCUGACCCAGCAACGCCGCGUGAAGGAAGAAGGCUCUCGGGUUGUAAACUUCUUUUAUCAGGGACGAAGCAAGUGACGGUACCUGAUGAAUAAGCCACGGCUAACUACGUGCCAGCAGCCGCGGUAAUACGUAGGUGGCAAGCGUUAUCCGGAUUUAUUGGGGUUAAAGGGGGCGCAGGCGGAUUUUUAAGUCAGCGGUCAAAUCGUGGUGCUCAACCCCAUCCAGCCGUUGAAACUGGGGAUCUAGAGUGUGCGAGAGGUAGGCGGAAUGCGUGGUGUAGCGGUGAAAUGCAUAGAUAUCACGCAGAACCCCGAUUGCGAAGGCAGCAUACCGGUGCACAACUGACGCUCAGGCACGAAAGCGUGGGUAUCGAACAGGAUUAGAUACCCGAGUAGUC